This 727-nucleotide ribosomal RNA is filed under the name uncultured endophytic bacterium. Its description in RNAcentral is "bacterial SSU rRNA". It matches the Rfam family "Bacterial small subunit ribosomal RNA", at positions 771 to 1504 of the family's 1533-position model. The record is from RNAcentral.
AACAGGAUUAGAUACCCUGGUAGUCCACGCCCUAAACGAUGUCUACUAGUUGUCGGGUCUUAAUUGACUUGGUAACGCAGCUAACGCGUGAAGUAGACCGCCUGGGGAGUACGGUCGCAAGAUUAAAACUCAAAGGAAUUGACGGGACCCGCACAAGCGGUGGAUGAUGUGGAUUAAUUCGAUGCAACGCGAAAAACCUUACCUACCCUUGACAUGUACAGAAUCCCGAAGAGAUUUGGGAGUGUUCGAAAGAAAACUGUAACACAGGUGCUGCAUGGCUGUCGUCAGCUCGUGUCGUGAGAUGUUGGGUUAAGUCCCGCAACGAGCGCAACCCUUGUCAUUAGUUGCUACGAAAGGGCACUCUAAUGAGACUGCCGGUGACAAACCGGAGGAAGGUGGGGAUGACGUCAAGUCCUCAUGGCCCUUAUGGGUAGGGCUUCACACGUCAUACAAUGGUACAUACAGAGGGCCGCCAACCCGCGAGGGGGAGCUAAUCCCAGAAAGUGUAUCGUAGUCCGGAUUGUAGUCUGCAACUCGACUACAUGAAGUUGGAAUCGCUAGUAAUCGCGGAUCAGCAUGUCGCGGUGAAUACGUUCCCGGGUCUUGUACACACCGCCCGUCACACCAUGGGAGCGGGUUUUACCAGAAGUAGGUAGCCUAACCGUAAGGAGGGCGCUUACCACGGUAGGAUUCGUGACUGGGGUGAAGUCGUAACAAGGUAGCCGUA